AUUGGGAUCUCCUUUCUGAAUGAUAUUCAACUUGAGACGAAAUAAACAAUCCAGAACUGCAAAGUAAACCUCCUACAACGAUAAAAGUAACUGAAAACAAAAGGAGAUUCUGUUCUGAAAUACACGGACAAUCUGAAGGGAAGAGGAAAACAUAAAUGUUCACAUUUAAUAGAAAGAUUUAGCAUUCAAAGAGGGUUUCAAUUUGUAUCCUG
This 212-nucleotide unclassified non-coding RNA is filed under the name Hevea brasiliensis (rubber tree). The record is from RNAcentral. Lineage: Eukaryota; Viridiplantae; Streptophyta; Magnoliopsida; Malpighiales; Euphorbiaceae.